This 910-nucleotide ribosomal RNA is filed under the name Microbacterium paraoxydans. Its description in RNAcentral is "bacterial SSU rRNA". It matches the Rfam family "Bacterial small subunit ribosomal RNA", at positions 574 to 1478 of the family's 1533-position model. Lineage: Bacteria; Bacillati; Actinomycetota; Actinomycetes; Micrococcales; Microbacteriaceae. The record is from RNAcentral.
GGCGGUUUGUCGCGUCUGCUGUGAAAUCCCGAGGCUCAACCUCGGGCCUGCAGUGGGUACGGGCAGACUAGAGUGCGGUAGGGGAGAUUGGAAUUCCUGGUGUAGCGGUGGAAUGCGCAGAUAUCAGGAGGAACACCGAUGGCGAAGGCAGAUCUCUGGGCCGUAACUGACGCUGAGGAGCGAAAGGGUGGGGAGCAAACAGGCUUAGAUACCCUGGUAGUCCACCCCGUAAACGUUGGGAACUAGUUGUGGGGUCCAUUCCACGGAUUCCGUGACGCAGCUAACGCAUUAAGUUCCCCGCCUGGGGAGUACGGCCGCAAGGCUAAAACUCAAAGGAAUUGACGGGGACCCGCACAAGCGGCGGAGCAUGCGGAUUAAUUCGAUGCAACGCGAAGAACCUUACCAAGGCUUGACAUAUACGAGAACGGGCCAGAAAUGGUCAACUCUUUGGACACUCGUAAACAGGUGGUGCAUGGUUGUCGUCAGCUCGUGUCGUGAGAUGUUGGGUUAAGUCCCGCAACGAGCGCAACCCUCGUUCUAUGUUGCCAGCACGUAAUGGUGGGAACUCAUGGGAUACUGCCGGGGUCAACUCGGAGGAAGGUGGGGGAUGACGUCAAAUCAUCAUGCCCCUUAUGUCUUGGGCUUCACGCAUGCUACAAUGGCCGGUACAAAGGGCUGCAAUACCGUGAGGUGGAGCGAAUCCCAAAAAGCCGGUCCCAGUUCGGAAUUGAGGUCUGCAACUCGACCUCAUGAAGUCGGAGUCGCUAGUAAUCGCAGAUCAGCAACGCUGCGGUGAAUACGUUCCCGGGUCUUGUACACACCGCCCGUCAAGUCAUGAAAGUCGGUAACACCUGAAGCCGGUGGCCUAACCCUUGUGGAGGGAGCUGUCGAAAGUGGGAUCGGUAAUUAG